This is a long non-coding RNA of Amblyraja radiata (thorny skate), 75 nucleotides long. RefSeq lists it as uncharacterized. The record is from RefSeq and is a predicted model, not a curated record. The transcript is spliced from 3 exons. NCBI's taxonomy places the organism in Eukaryota, Metazoa, Chordata, Chondrichthyes, Rajiformes, Rajidae.
CAUCCACCUGGUCACGGGGAGAACGUCCAAACUCCACACAGAACCCGAGGUGAGGAUUAAACCCAUGUUACUGGG